UACGGGGGGGGCAAGCGUUGUUCGGAAUUACUGGGCGUAAAGGGCUCGUAGGUGGCCAACUAAGUCAGACGUGAAAUCCCUCGGCUUAACCGGGGAACUGCGUCUGAUACUGGAUGGCUUGAGUUUGGGAGAGGGAUGCGGAAUUCCAGGUGUAGCGGUGAAAUGCGUAGAUAUCAGGAAGAACACCCGUGGCUAAGGCGGCUCUCUAGUACGGUACUGACGCUGAGACGCGAAAGCGUGGGGAGCGAACAGG
RNAcentral lists this ribosomal RNA (253 nucleotides) under uncultured bacterium. Its description in RNAcentral is "partial 16S ribosomal RNA". It matches the Rfam family "Bacterial small subunit ribosomal RNA", at positions 524 to 776 of the family's 1533-position model. The record is from RNAcentral.